GGCUUGCUCUUAUCGAAAGUGGCGCACGGGUGCGUAACGCGUAUGCAACCUACCUUAAUCAGGGGGAUAGCCCGGAGAAAUCCGGAUUAAUACCGCAUAAAAUCACAGGAUUGCAUAAUCCAAUGAUCAAACAUUUAUGGGAUUGAGAUGGGCAUGCGUGUCAUUAGCUAGUUGGCGGGGUAACGGCCCACCAAGGCGACGAUGACUAGGGGAUCUGAGAGGAUGGCCCCCCACACUGGUACUGAGACACGGACCAGACUCCUACGGGAGGCAGCAGUAAGGAAUAUUGGUCAAUGGAGGCAACUCUGAACCAGCCAUGCCGCGUGCAGGAAGACUGCCCUAUGGGUUGUAAACUGCUUUUAUCCGGGAAUAAACCUUUCUACGUGUAGGAAGCUGAAUGUACCGGAAGAAUAAGGAUCGGCUAACUCCGUGCCAGCAGCCGCGGUAAU
This 449-nucleotide ribosomal RNA is filed under the name uncultured bacterium. RNAcentral's name for it is "bacterial SSU rRNA". It matches the Rfam family "Bacterial small subunit ribosomal RNA", at positions 77 to 524 of the family's 1533-position model. The record is from RNAcentral.